RNAcentral lists this ribosomal RNA (449 nucleotides) under uncultured bacterium. Its description in RNAcentral is "partial 16S ribosomal RNA". It matches the Rfam family "Bacterial small subunit ribosomal RNA", at positions 29 to 523 of the family's 1533-position model. The record is from RNAcentral.
AACGAACGCUGGCGGCAGGCCUAACACAUGCAAGUCGAGCGAGACCUUCGGGUCUAGCGGCGGACGGGUGAGUAACGCGUGGGAAUAUGCCCUUUGGUACGGAAUAGCCUCGGGAAACUGAGAGUAAUACCGUAUGUGCCCUUCGGGGGAAAGAUUUAUCGCCAAAGGAUUAGCCCGCGUUGGAUUAGGUAGUUGGUGGGGUAAUGGCCUACCAAGCCUACGAUCCAUAGCUGGUUUGAGAGGAUGAUCAGCCACACUGGGACUGAGACACGGCCAAGACUCCAACAGGAGGCAGCAGUGGGGAAUCGUAGACAAUGGGGGCAACCCUGAACUAGCCAUGCCGCGUGAGUGAUGAAGGCCUUAGGGUUGUAAAGCUCUUUCAGCUGGGAAGAUAAUGACGGUACCAGCAGAAGAAGCCCCGGCUAACUCAGUGCCAGCCGCCGCCGUAA